GAAAUGCGAUAAGUAAUGGGAAUUGCAGAAUUCAGUGAAUCAUCGAAUCUUUGAACGCACCUUGCGCUCCUUGGAAUUCCUUGGAGCAUGCCUGUUUGAGUAUCAUGAAAUCUUCAAAGUAAAUCUUUUGUUAACUCAAUUGGUUUCUACUUUGGUAUUGGAGGUCUUUGCAGCUUCACACCUGCUCCUCUUUGUUCAUUAGCUGGAUCUCAGUGUUAUGCUUGGUUCCACUCGGCGUGAUAAGUUAUCUAUCGCUGAGGACACUGUAAAAGGUGGCCAAGGUAAAUGCAGAUGAACCGCUUCUAAUAGUCCAUUGACUUGGACAAUACUUUUAUGAUCUGAUCUCAAAUCAGGUAGGACUACCCGCUGAACUUAAGC
Molecule: unclassified non-coding RNA, 378 nt
Filed under: plant metagenome
Description: partial contains 5.8S ribosomal RNA, internal transcribed spacer 2, and large subunit ribosomal RNA
Rfam family: 5.8S ribosomal RNA (bases 1-105)
Source: RNAcentral